AUAAGAAAAUCCUUUCCAAGAAAUGUGCAUUCUGACUCAUGCCUUAGAAAGGAAUGGUCUGGCUGGGUGCAGUGGCUCACGCCUGUAAUCCCAGCACUUUGGGAGGCUGAGGUGGGCAGAUCACUUGAGGUCAGGAGUUAGAGACCAGCCUGGCCAACAUAGUGAAACCCCGUGUCUACUAAAAAUACAAAAAAAAAUAUUAGCUGGGUGUGGUGGCAGGUGCCUGUGAUCCUAGCUACUGUGGAGACUGAGGCAGGAGAAUCCCUUGAACCUGGGAGUCAGAGGUUGCAGUGAGCCAAGAUCCCGCCAUUGCUCUCCAGCCUGGGUGACUGAGUGAGACUGUCUCAAAAAGAUAAGAAAAGAAAAAAGAAAGGGGAGGGAGGGAGGGAAGGGAGGGAAAGGAGGAGACCCUUGGGAACUGGGAAGUGUAGCUGAUGAUGAAAUAUUUUUUUUCUUUGAGAAAUGCAGGCCUGGCUCCAAUCAGCUAAUUUUUCAGACCUUUGAUCCAUUGAUCCUUUGGGCAGUCUGGGCUUGCUUGGUUCAGUGAGAGGCAGCAGAGGACGAGAGAAAUUGCGCAGGGCUGAGAGCUGUGAAGUCACUGGGUGAGUCCCUUCCCCUUGCCAGGCCUCAGUUUCCCAGUCUGUAAAAUAAGAGGACUGGAGGGACUGACUCUAGGGCCGACUCUGACCUUUUCUCUCCAAGCGUAGGUGAGCGGUGUGACCACACCAGGCCAAGGAAGAAGCACGUGCCCAGCCUGCCAUCUGCCCUCCUGUCCUGGAGCCAGCUCUUUCCACCAGCUUCCUUCGUCUUUUAACACUUGGUGAAAAGGAAUGACACGUCAGUCACAGCCACUGGCCAGUGCUCACGGAGCAUCUGGCAGGAGGAAGCGCCUUCCUGGCUGGCCUCCCAUUCAUCAGUCAGAGCCGCAGGCUGGGCCAGGAAGCUGCAUUUGUUGGCCAGGAUUUGAGAUUUCUUUCACUGAGGCCUCCGGAGAGUCAUUCCAAAGGUGAACAUGGAGCACAAACUCAAGAAGUGAAACCACAUGUACUGCCUCAAAAGCAACAAGGCAGGAGGGUGUCGAAAACCCCGGGGGGGAGAUACAAAGGCUCAAAGUUCUGCAACCCGCACCCCUUGGAAAGAGGGUUGGUCAGCUCCUCUCCCAACCCAAACUCCCAGUUUGAAUUUUUAAAACAUCAGCCUUCUAAGCAAGCAUCUGCCACUGUCCGGCUUCUGAAUGAAAGGUGAAGAUCAGAGAAAGGAAUCUUUGUGUUUUCAUCAGGUAUUUUAGCAAAUGCAAUGAGGACAUUCAGAUUUGAUUUCCCUGUUUUGUACACACACAUAAGUCGGUGCUAAGAGGAUUAGUUUUCCUGCAGCCACGUCCUUCCUAAAGGCCCCGGUCAAAAGAGACCCUUGUUCAACAGCGUUCUCUCUGAUUCCUCUGGCUUUUCUUCCUUACCUCAAUGUGCACACAUCUAGCUUGCUCCUAAAUCCACCCACCUCGCAGACUUUGGGAUAACGAAGAUCCCAGCCCUCCAUUCUCCUCCCGCCCCGGUUCCUUAAUAAAGCUGGAGAUGAACAUUAGCGCUUGGUUCAGCAGCAUCCGAAAAGGAAAGGGUGGCCUCCUCGAGCCCUCGACGCCCCAUAGAAAAAUGUAGCCU
This is a long non-coding RNA of Macaca mulatta (Rhesus monkey), 1658 nucleotides long. The record is from Ensembl. NCBI's taxonomy places the organism in Eukaryota, Metazoa, Chordata, Mammalia, Primates, Cercopithecidae.